This is a long non-coding RNA of Schistocerca gregaria, 454 nucleotides long. RefSeq lists it as uncharacterized. The transcript has 3 exons. Lineage: Eukaryota; Metazoa; Arthropoda; Insecta; Orthoptera; Acrididae. The record is from RefSeq and is a predicted model, not a curated record.
CACAAGUAUUCUCAGAAUCCAGAGGACAAUGCAGUCAGUCGGUGCCAGGCGUUUUCGUUCCAGACGCGCCGGAACGGUGAACAUCCGCAUACUGCUACAAUAGAUUACUAUUGAACAUCUACGAGGAGUAAAAACCAUAACCACCUAGUCCUUGAAGAAUAACAAGGUUCCUCGUCUGAAACUUGGCUGUGGACUGACUGUCUCGGGUCCAAAAAUUGGUCCCUUAUAUGUCCUCACAAUAAUAGGUGCUGAAGCUACACAUUGUUCAAAGUUUAAUUAACAUAAAUAACAAUUAAAACUUAACUCAUUAAAUUAACUGAAUACAUAAACUUCUGUCUUUUUAACAGUUUCUCCUACUACUAGAGUUAAGCCAAAUUAUUUGUUUAACUCAUGAAAUUAACAUAUGUAGUUAUGCAAAGAAUACUUUUGAUAAAACUGUUACUUACUUUGGGAU